Molecule: unclassified non-coding RNA, 417 nt
Filed under: Hevea brasiliensis (rubber tree)
Lineage: Eukaryota; Viridiplantae; Streptophyta; Magnoliopsida; Malpighiales; Euphorbiaceae
Source: RNAcentral
AGGGAUGAACGUUCUAUAUCAGCUGCUGCAAAUCCAUUAGAAGUUGUGGAUCCAAGGCCAAGAGUCUCGCUAACACUAGGGCUUAUUGAGCUAGCAACGUAAACAGUGAUAGGGCAGGAGUCAUGAGAAAUUCCCCGUAUGUGCGUUUCCCAAAGGAUAUUAGAAAGUGACAAUAUAGCAGCAGGAUUAUCACUUAUUACACGGACUUUCGCAUCGCGUUCUUCAGAUGAUCCAAUAGCCCCAUCUUGAACAAAGAUCUUGGAAGUGGAUGAAAGGUGAGACGAAACCAGCUUCAAGAGUUUGCCAAAUUGAGCCUUUGAAAUUUUAGAAGCUUGUUCGGAAUUUUCUGCGUCUGCUGGGACUGAUCUGUCUGGUGCGGUGAAGAUGACGCUUUACCGUACCAGUCCCAUUAGUACG